GACGGAGGAUGCAAGUGUUAUCCGGAAUUAUUGGGCGUAAAGCGUCUGUAGGUUGCCUAACAAGUCUGUUGUUAAAGGUUAAAGCUUAACUUUAAAACUGCAGCAGAAACUGCUAGGCUUGAGUACAGUCGAAGUAGAGGGAAUUUCCAGUGAAGCGGUGAAAUGCGUAGAUAUUGGAAGGAACACCAAUGGCGAAAGCACUCUACUGGACCAUUACUGACACUCAGAGACGAAAGCUAGGGUAGCAAAAGGGAUUAGAUACCCCUGUAGUCCUAGCCGUAAACGAUGGAUACUAGAUGUUGUGUUUAUACAGUAUCGUAGCUAACGCGUUAAGUAUCCCGCCUGGGGAGUACGCUCGCAAGGGUG
RNAcentral lists this ribosomal RNA (366 nucleotides) under uncultured phototrophic eukaryote. RNAcentral's name for it is "SSU rRNA". It matches the Rfam family "Bacterial small subunit ribosomal RNA", at positions 524 to 896 of the family's 1533-position model. The record is from RNAcentral.